AGCCAAAAGGGGUGCCAGCUACAGACUGGAGCCCACGGAGAGAGGCUGGGGUAUUUCUUCCCUCCUCUCUGUCUGACCGCACCCUGGCCUGGCAGAUCUGCCUGCCUCUGAGAGGACAAUUCUUAUUGGGCUUCCUUUUCCAUUGUAUCUUGUCAAGCUCCAGGAACUACUGUUCUCUGCCCCAUGCCUCUUAAGCCUGGGGAAGUGAGGUCUGCCUCCCAUUGUUGCUGGUCCCUGGGUAACAGCAUCCUCUGAUGGCUGUUGAACCAGGACUGCACUGCAGCAAAUGGUCCCUUCAUCACAUUCUCUUCCAAAUUUCCUCCCAAGAAUGCCUUCUGCUUCCUGUCAGGACCCCAACUGCUAGUUUGGGGUUUUGAGUAGCUAUCUACUUGAAAACGGACAUUUGGAGUGUGUAGAUGUGUGUGGAAGAACAGAACCGGAGACCACUUAAGGCGGCUGGGUAAAGGCGGCCUGUCUUUCAAGAGUGUCUGUUUCAUUCCAUGAUUAAUGUUAAUUUCGUGUUGUAGUAGACACCAUGGUUACCAGUGCAGCAACCAUGCCCUUUUUUCUUGCUGGCAGAAACACACCUUGGUCCAGGUGUCGGCCUUCUACAUGGCUAGGGUAAACUGUUUCAUGUGGAGCUAAUCUUGGUAACUCCACUUUUCCUGUAAUUAGUUUAAAACAAGUUUAAGCUAAUGAAUCCUGAUGUUGGGAAAAGUUUCCUCACUCUUAAAAAAAAGGCAUAUAAAGAAGAAAUAUUCCUUGAUGCCUGCUGGAUGUUGUCUGUCUGGAUGUGAUGUCUGGCUUUUUGCAGCCUCUUACAUCCCUGACCGGAGGUAACCUGAGGAACCCUGGGGAUGACAGUGGAAAAUGGGAAGACUAUGGGUCCUUAAUGAAACGAUUGAACCAUUAACCAAUCCUGCUGUGGCCCUAAUAAGGGAUUUCAUAUCAUGAAAAUAAUAGAUAUCCUUAUUGAGUUGGAUUUUUUGGUUACUAGAGGCUAACAGCAUUUAAACUUGAAGCCUAUUUAAACAAACCAGAGAAGAUUCCAUAUAAGUAACAGAAGACCCAACUCGCUCUUGAGAAUCAUUUGUUUUUUUUAAUUUAAUAAAUCUUUAUUGCUCAAAUUAUUACAAUUGUUUCUCCUCCCCUCCCAUAGCUUCCUUCCACCCUGUUCCCACCCCACCCUCUGCCCUUACCUCCCUCCAGUUGUCCUCAUCCAUACAUGUACGAUUUUAAUCAGUCUCUUCCUGCACCACCCAUACUCCUUUCCCCCUGAAAAUUAUCAAUCCACUCCCUCUCUUUGCCAUUGGAGAAUCAUUUAUUUCUGUAUAAUAAGCCAUCACACACUGGGGAGCUUAAAUAACAUGAGGUACUAUUUCUCAGGA
Long non-coding RNA from Pipistrellus kuhlii (Kuhl's pipistrelle), 1388 nucleotides. RefSeq lists it as uncharacterized. The transcript has 2 exons. The record is from RefSeq and is a predicted model, not a curated record. Lineage: Eukaryota; Metazoa; Chordata; Mammalia; Chiroptera; Vespertilionidae.